This is a long non-coding RNA of Malania oleifera, 1085 nucleotides long. RefSeq lists it as uncharacterized. The record is from RefSeq and is a predicted model, not a curated record. Lineage: Eukaryota; Viridiplantae; Streptophyta; Magnoliopsida; Santalales; Ximeniaceae. The transcript is spliced from 3 exons.
AUUAUACAACGAUGCUGUACAAGCAGUGAUCUAUAUACAGAACCCGAAAACCAAGAUGCCAACAGCUGCACAUCCUGGGAUCAUGGAAGUUUCCUCGCCAUAAUCUUAGAAACAGAUACAAUUUUGCACCACUAUCACGUCAGUGUUCCAAGAACUUGCUCAGAACAGUUUUUUUUUAAAGGGAUUUCAUCUUCCUCGUCAUCUUUCUCGGACAUUGCAGGUGUAUGCAACGCACAACGUAUAACAGAGUUGAUCUGUUUUCUCAAGGUGGCAUUGUCAAUAAAAAUAUCAGUGAGCAUUUUUCUCAGCUGAUCAUCUGUUGUCCUUGCAUCAUCGCCGGCUAUAGCUUGACUUCUGUCUGCUGCUGUAAUGGAACUUUCAACAUCUUGUGCGAGGAGCUGGGCCUGCUCAAAUGUAUGAACCUCAGGUCUUUACCAAAGAAGUGGGUAGCCAAAAUUGCAGCUGUGGCAAAAGCAAAGAACCUCAAUACUCUAUGUAUGAGUGGAUCGGAUCUCAUUACACAAGAGAUGACCAUAAAGAUUAUAGAGCAGCCUACUCAAGUGAAUAUUGCUCUCAAGGCCAAGGAACUCUUAAUCAGAUGAAAGCUCAACAGAUGAUGAUGAAGAAGAAGAAGAAUUGUUAGAAAAUGUAGCAAUUUUUUUUUAUGAAAAAGGGAUUUGUAUGAAGAAAAAUGUAUAAUAAAGAUGAAUCAAAAAAGAAAGAUGAUAUUACUUGUUCUGAAUCAAGGACAUGCUCAUGCAGACCGUCCUUUCCUCAAAAUAAAUAAAUAAAUAAAUAAAAAGAUGGCAGCUACACAGAGUGGUUCAAACAUGGACCAGAACCUGGCAGCGAGUCUAAUGGCAAAUCUGAAGGAAGAACCUAAGGUAGUCUGAAUGCUUUCUAGUGCAGUUAGUGGCUUUCUAGCUCGCACGGAUCUCAUACCCAAAGUUUGUACAGGUUUUCCAAAAGGCUUUCUAGCACAAGGGUUGUAAUAUUGUUUCAUAGUAAAUUCUCAAGCUGUUGCUUGAGGACUGGAUGUAAGUCACUGUUGACCAAACCACUAUAAAUAUCUUGUGUUCCUGUUU